AUUGAACGCUGGCGGCAGGCCUAACACAUGCAAGUCGAGCGCGCGGCGGACGGGUGCGUACUGUCUGGGAAACUGCCUGAUGGAGUGGGAUAACUACUGGAAACGGUAGCUAAUACCGCCUACGUUCAGAUGUGCCCAGAUGGGUUUAGCUGGUAGGUGGGGUAACGGCUCACCAAGGCGACGAUCCCUAGCUGUUCUGAGAGGAUGACCAGCCACACUGGAACUGAGACACGGUCCAGACUCCUACGGGAGGCAGCAGUGGGGAAUAUUGCACAAUGGGCGCAAGCCUGAUGCAGCCAUGCCGCGUGUGUGAGGAAGGCCUUCGGGUUGUAAAGCACUUUCAGCGGGGAGGCGUUACCCGCAGAAGAAGCACCGGCUAACUCCGUGCCAGCAGCCGCGGUAAUUC
This 406-nucleotide ribosomal RNA is filed under the name uncultured bacterium. Its description in RNAcentral is "partial 16S ribosomal RNA". It matches the Rfam family "Bacterial small subunit ribosomal RNA", at positions 30 to 526 of the family's 1533-position model. The record is from RNAcentral.